CUUGGUGGUUCAGAUGGUAAAGAAUCUGUUUGCAGUUCAGGAGACCCAGGUUCAAUUCCUGCACCAAGA
RNAcentral lists this transfer RNA (69 nucleotides) under Ovis aries (sheep). It matches the Rfam family "tRNA". From Rfam's summary of the family: Transfer RNA (tRNA) molecules are approximately 80 nucleotides in length. Their secondary structure includes four short double-helical elements and three loops (D, anti-codon, and T loops). The record is from Rfam by way of RNAcentral. Lineage: Eukaryota; Metazoa; Chordata; Mammalia; Artiodactyla; Bovidae.